GACCCUACGCAAGAUCAAACAAUCUAGC
Molecule: small RNA, 28 nt
Filed under: Bombyx mori (domestic silkworm)
Lineage: Eukaryota; Metazoa; Arthropoda; Insecta; Lepidoptera; Bombycidae
Description: ovarian small RNA-5071
Source: RNAcentral